GAGUUUGAUCCUGGCUCAGAGCGAACGCUGGCGGCAGGCUUAACACAUGCAAGUCGAGCGCCGUAGCAAUACGGAGCGGCAGACGGGUGAGUAACACGUGGGAACGUACCUUUUGGUUCGGAACAACUGAGGGAAACUUCAGCUAAUACCGGAUAAGCCCUUACGGGGAAAGAUUUAUCGCCGAAAGAUCGGCCCGCGUCUGAUUAGCUAGUUGGUGAGGUAAUGGCUCACCAAGGCGACGAUCAGUAGCUGGUCUGAGAGGAUGAUCAGCCACACUGGGACUGAGACACGGCCCAGACUCCUACGGGAGGCAGCAGUGGGGAAUAUUGGACAAUGGGCGCAAGCCUGAUCCAGCCAUGCCGCGUGAGUGAUGAAGGCCCUAGGGUUGUAAAGCUCUUUUGUGCGGGAAGAUAAUGACUGUACCGCAAGAAUAAGCCCCGGCUAACUUCGUGCCAGCAGCCGCCGUAAC
RNAcentral lists this ribosomal RNA (469 nucleotides) under uncultured Alphaproteobacteria bacterium. RNAcentral describes it as "bacterial SSU rRNA". It matches the Rfam family "Bacterial small subunit ribosomal RNA", at positions 9 to 524 of the family's 1533-position model. RNAcentral also lists the same sequence under 1 other name. The record is from RNAcentral. Lineage: Bacteria; Pseudomonadati; Pseudomonadota; Alphaproteobacteria.